AACGAACGCUGGCGGCAGGCCUAACACAUGCAAGUCGAACGCUCUCUUCGGAGGGAGUGGCAGACGGGUGAGUAACGCGUGGGAAUCUACCCAGCUCUACGGAAUAACGCAUGGAAACGUGUGCUAAUACCGUAUACGCCCCAUGGGGAAAGAUUUAUCGGAGUUGGAUGAGCCCGCGUCUGAUUAGCUAGUUGGUGAGGUAAUGGCUCACCAAGGCGACGAUCAGUAGCUGGUCUGAGAGGAUGACCAGCCACACUGGGACUGAGACACGGCCCAGACUCCUACGGGAGGCAGCAGUGGGGGAAUAUUGGACAAUGGGCGCAAGCCUGAUCCAGCCAUGCCGCGUGAGUGAUGACGGCCUUAGGGUUGUAAAGCUCUUUCACCGGUGAAGAUAAUGACGGUAACCGGAGAAGAAGCCCCGGCUAACUUCGUA
Molecule: ribosomal RNA, 433 nt
Filed under: uncultured bacterium
Lineage: Bacteria
Description: bacterial SSU rRNA
Rfam family: Bacterial small subunit ribosomal RNA
Source: RNAcentral